RNAcentral lists this ribosomal RNA (697 nucleotides) under uncultured bacterium. Its description in RNAcentral is "bacterial SSU rRNA". It matches the Rfam family "Bacterial small subunit ribosomal RNA", at positions 32 to 715 of the family's 1533-position model. The record is from RNAcentral.
AACGCUAGCUACAGGCUUAACACAUGCAAGUCGAGGGGCAGCAUGGAACUUAGCUUGCUAAGUUUCGAUGGCGACCGGCGCACGGGUGAGUAACACGUAUCCAACCUACCGUUUACUACGGGAUAGCCUUCUGAAAAGGAGAUUAAUACCGUAUGGUAUUCUAAGGUUUCAUGACAUUAGAAUUAAAGGUUUACCGGUAAUCGAUGGGGAUGCGUUCCAUUAGAUAGUAGGCGGGGUAACGGCCCACCUAGUCAGCGAUGGAUAGGGGUUCUGAGAGGAAGGUCCCCCACAUUGGAACUGAGACACGGUCCAAACUCCUACGGGAGGCAGCAGUGAGGAAUAUUGGUCAAUGGACGAGAGUCUGAACCAGCCAAGUAGCGUGAAGGAUGACUGCCCUAUGGGUUGUAAACUUCUUUUAUAUGGGAAUAAAGUUCUCCACGUGUGGAGUUUUGUAUGUACCAUUAUGAAUAAGCAUCGGCUAACUCCGUGCCAGCAGCCGCGGUAAUACGGAGGAUGCGAGCGUUAUCCGGAUUUAUUGGGUUUAAAGGGAGCGUAGGUGGACUGGUAAGUCAGUUGUGAAAGUUUGCGGCUCAACCGUAAAAUUGCAGUUGAUACUGUCAGUCUUGAGUACAGUAGAGGUGGGCGGAAUUCGUGGUGUAGCGGUGAAAUGCUUAGAUAUCACGAAGAACUCCGAUUG